This 468-nucleotide ribosomal RNA is filed under the name uncultured bacterium. RNAcentral describes it as "partial 16S ribosomal RNA". It matches the Rfam family "Bacterial small subunit ribosomal RNA", at positions 28 to 507 of the family's 1533-position model. The record is from RNAcentral.
GACGAACGCUGGCGGCGUGCUUAACACAUGCAAGUCGAACGGAAAGGCCCUGCUUUUGUGGGGUGCUCGAGUGGCGAACGGGUGAGUAACACGUGAGUAACCUGCCCUUAACUUUGGGAUAACUUCAGGAAACUGGGGCUAAUACCGGAUAGGAGCUCCUGCUGCAUGGUGGGGGUUGGAAAGUUUCGGCGGUUGGGGAUGGACUCGCGGCUUAUCAGCUUGUUGGUGGGGUAGUGGCUUACCAAGGCUUUGACGGGUAGCCGGCCUGAGAGGGUGACCGGCCACAUUGGGACUGAGAUACGGCCCAGACUCCUACGGGAGGCAGCAGUGGGGAAUAUUGCACAAUGGGCGGAAGCCUGAUGCAGCAACGCCGCGUGCGGGAUGACGGCCUUCGGGUUGCAAACCGCUUUCGCCUGUGACGAAGCGUGAGUGACGGUAAUGGGUAAAGAAGCACCGGCUAACUACGUG